This 1673-nucleotide long non-coding RNA is filed under the name Pan troglodytes (chimpanzee). RNAcentral describes it as "lncRNA (ENSPTRG00000053105.1)". The record is from RNAcentral. Lineage: Eukaryota; Metazoa; Chordata; Mammalia; Primates; Hominidae.
CACCAGCUAAUCCUCCUCUAGUGCUUAUCUCUCAAGCACAGUUCUAAGUUUGUACAUAUAUUUGAAAUCUAUGACAAAUUCUGUAAGUUUGACACUGUUAUCAUCAUGCUCAUAUUCAGGUGGAAAGACUAAGGUGCAGAAGCUAAGCACCUGCCUGAGUUUCCUACAGGUAAGUGGAAAAGAGGGGGCCAACCCCAGAGCUUGAACCUUUCGCUGCUAUGCCACACUGGGUUUGAAGGGUAGUUUUCUUGAGAAUAGAGGGGACACAGUGAUUGGACAGUGAUGCUCUGCUGCCAUAGGCCAGGAAUUCUGUUUCAUUAUGACUCAGGCACAUCACCUUGUGGUUUCUUUAUACAGAGAUCAGCUUCCCUGAUGUAGUUGGAGAAGAAAUGGACAUAAGAGGAACAAGGUCCAGUGUGUCAUCCCACUUCUUACUCUGAUCAUUCUCACGUUCAUCUCUAAGUUUCUUGAGCAUGAAAAAAGUUUCAAAUACUUUUCAAAGCCGUGGACAACUUCAUAAAGUGGAUUUGUGCAGCAACCAGAACAGCCCUAUCUAUGUUCUCACUUGAAAGAAAGCCAAGUAUCAGACAGAGGAGGAUGUCAGUUUCUGUGGCACCCAUGGCAAUUCAGAUGCAGGGUGCAAUGUUAAAGUCUACACCUCUACAUAACUCUUGGAGGCUGGCAAAAGUACAAACGAGCCAAUACUUGUUGAAUACAUACAGUUAUUUCAAGCACUGAGCUGUUUUAUAGUCCUCCAUCAAAUAAAAUAGACAUUCUGAUCCAUUUUAUGGAUAAGUAACCAAAGACUUGGAGUUGUUAAGUAGCCUGCCUAAGGUUACACAAGUGGUAAGUGGCAGAGACUAGAUUUGAAACCCCGUGUGUCAAGGGUCUUUCCUCUAUAUCAGCCUUGCUGCUUCAAUUGUAGAAAAGUAUCCAUUUUAUUGUAGUGGAGGUCUCAGCUGAGCUGAGGUCACAAUUCAGAAUUUACAUGGGGCUAGUGAGUUUAUUGGUGGAAACCUGAAGACAAAUAUUUUGAGUUUUUGUACUGGGGGCCAGGAAUUUUCAUAAAGUAGACUUGUGUGAAUAUAAGGACAGAAACAAAUGGUGUUGAAGGCAUUAUGACAUUAAUUUCUCUACCUGGUCUACCCUCUACGGAGAGAUAAUCUAAAGGCAGAAAUACAUAAGCUGUUUCUAUGAGGAACUUUAUUUAUUUGAUAGCAUCUUAUUCUGGUCACCCAGGCUGGCGUUCAGUGGUGAUCAUUGUUCACUGUCACCUCAAACUCCUGGGCUAAAGUGAUCCUCACUCCCCAGCCUCCAGAGUAGCUAGGACUAUAGGCACACACCAUCACACCCAGCUAAUUUAUAAAUAUUUUUGUAGAGACAAGGUCUCACCACGUUGCCCAGGCUUGUCUCAAACUCCUGGGCUCAAGUGAUCCUCCCGUCUCAGCCUCCCAAAGACCUGGGAUUAUAGAUGGGAGCUAUCCUGCUUGGCCUCAUGGGAAACUUUUUUGUUGUCAUAUGAACAUAGUGUGACAAGGUCAAAGGCUAGAGGAGUAAACAGGGACUAAUUUGUGAAGGGCUUUGGGGCCAAGAGAGAGGGUUAGUACUCCAUCCUCAGAGCAAUAGGAGUUGGUUAAAAGAAUUGAAGCAGGGGAAUAAAAUAGCCAUCUUAG